GGAAGAAAGGAGUUCACAUAUCUAAGACUAAAUGUUAGUCCUAUACUGAAAGCGUGAGUACUGUGAAGGAAAGUUGAAAGAGACUUGAAAAGAUCUGGAAAUUUGUCUUUUAAAGCAGCUGUAAAACAGCGUACCUUUUGUAUAAUGGGUUUACGAGAUAUCGUUUGGCAAAUUUAAAUAAACUUUCUUGCAGAUAAAAUGUAGGUGAAGAGAAGUCGAGAAGGCUCUUUAGUCAAAUUACCCGAAACCAAGUGAUCUAACCAUGGGCAGUUUUAAAGAACGAACCGGUGGUUGUGGCAAAAACCUCGGAUGACCUGUGGAUAGGGGGGAAAGCCCAAUCGGACUUGGAGAUAGCUGGUUUUCUACGAAAACUAUGUAAGUAGUGCGUUCACAUAGGGCAUUGUGUUAAUAAAAAAAUAGAAAAAAAAUGAACAGAAGAACAUUAAUUUGUUAGACUAUUUAAUUCUUUUUAUUUAACGCUCUAUUAAAAUUUUAGGGUAAAGGCCUAUUGCUUUAAGGGGGAUAGACUUUGAAGGUAAAAUUUGAAGUGGACAGACAGACAGGGGGCGAAUAGGUCCGUUGUCAAAAGGGGAGAGCCCAAAUCAGAAAUUAAAGUUACAGAUUCAAUAAUUAAGUGUAAAAGGAGUAUGGGAUUUAGACAAUGAAGAGGUAGGCUUGGAGCCAGCCAUCUUUGAAAGAAUGCGUAGUAGUUCACUCAAGAACUCUUUUUCCCCAAAAAUUAUGGUGGCUAAAAAUUGAACUGAAAUUCUGAGGGCAGUAAGAAGUUUGCUUGGUAGUAGAACAGACUGUUAGAUGGUGGUGAGAACCCAAGAAUCAGAAGAGAUAAUGUGAACAUGAGUAAAAAAAUUGUUGCUUCAUCUCCCCUGGUUACCAAGCCUAAGGGUUUGGGUGAAA
This 915-nucleotide ribosomal RNA is filed under the name uncultured Symbiodinium. Its description in RNAcentral is "partial Bacterial large subunit ribosomal RNA". It matches the Rfam family "Bacterial large subunit ribosomal RNA", at positions 439 to 1362 of the family's 2925-position model. The record is from RNAcentral. Lineage: Eukaryota; Dinophyceae; Suessiales; Symbiodiniaceae.